Molecule: long non-coding RNA, 1034 nt
Organism: Pezoporus occidentalis (night parrot)
Lineage: Eukaryota; Metazoa; Chordata; Aves; Psittaciformes; Psittacidae
Exons: 2
Source: RefSeq, a predicted model, not a curated record
UUAUGAAGGUGCGACACAGAUGAGUUGUUCUGAUAUUCAGUGACAGAAAGCGGGAGCACAGUAUUUCAGAUGAAAGAGGCAAGGGCUUCAUCAUCAGCGAGGCCUUGGCAAGCAGCAACCACUACGUGUUCAGAUGCUUCAUGAGCAAGGAAUGUUGGUUUCCCCCAGGGCUCUGGAACACAGCAUAAAAGCCUGCUCUACUCCAGGCUCUGCAUCUUCCUCUCUUGCUUCCCUUUCCUCUAAGAGCAAGCUUUGCCUCGCUCACCGAGAGAUGUCUUGCUUCAGACCAUGUCCCCCACGCCCCUGCGGCACCUCUGGCCCAACGCCACUUGCAAGCAGUUGCAGUGAACCCUGCAUCUCCCGCUGCGCUGACUCGACGGUGUUCAUUGAGGCCUCCCCAGUGGUGGUGACCCUGCCGGGCCCCAUCCUCACCUCUUUCCCGCAGAGCACAGCCGUGGGAUCCUCUCUGUCAGCUGCUGUUGGGAGCUCCCUCAGCACUGGCGGGGUUCCCAUCUCUUCUGGGGGCUCCCUUGGUCUCGGGGGCUCAGGCCUGUGUCUGCCUCCCCCCCGCUGCAGUCUGAACUGCUGAAGCUGGCGGAUCAUCCCCUUUGGAGCCGGAAGGAGGACGUGCACCCUGCAUGAGCAGGAGCGUGGCCACGGCUUCCAGAUGGGCUGCGUGUCCUCUUCCCACCUGGCAGGAGGGUCCUGUGCCCACUGCUCCUCACUGCUGGACGAGCCUCGCACUGCCUUCUCUGUCUCUUUGCUCUGAGCCCCUAAGAGAAAGGGCUCCUUCUCUUCUGCUUUGCUGAACCUCCUACUGAGGUGGAGAGGGAUCUGGAGUCAGGGACUGCUCUUGGUGGCCUGGGAAUACCACCAGGUGAAGCAGAAUGGGAAAAGGGAAGCUCUUUCUGUGGACCUUGUCCUUUGGAAACGGGCCGUUCUCUGUGCCUCCCCAAACCCUGCAGACGUCUUCCUUGGUCUCUCUUCUGUGCCCCUGCAUUUGCUCCUUCUGAUUAAAGACUAUGUGCAGCAUA